UUUCCGUAGGUGAACCUGCGGAAGGAUCAUUAACACGUAUCCACGUAUCAAACAACCCGUUGAACUGUUCCCGCGUGUCGAGUGAGACAAGGGGAGACGAGCGGCUAGGUGGCGAAAGGUUUGUCUUUGGACACAAUCUUCGUCCUCGUCUUUACCCGCGGCCUCCGAAAGGAGAGCCAACGUUUCUUCGGCAGGCGUUCGCCACGGAAAUAUCAUUUCCAAACCCCAUGAAUUUGUGUUCUAACCUUCUUUUCUUUUCUUUCAGGUUCUCUUCGAGAACAGAAAGAAAACGAAACUUUUUACGAAACUCAAAACAACUCUUAGCAACGGAUAUCUUGGUUUCC
Molecule: unclassified non-coding RNA, 344 nt
Filed under: soil metagenome
Description: partial contains small subunit ribosomal RNA, internal transcribed spacer 1, and 5.8S ribosomal RNA
Source: RNAcentral